GUUUCUAUCACAUCCUGAGGACCACUAACCCACCAGCAAGUCUCCCCCUGACACACAUUCACGUAGGUCCAUACCCUUCAGAGUCCUAAAGGGUUAAUGAGAAGCCACCUCAGCUUUGGUGAAUGGAGCCCCAGCCCCAAAUCCCCUCCCCUUGCAAAUAUGGGACAAGUAGGGAGAGUCUGAUGGAGGCACCAGGACAACUACAACAACCUCUUACCCCUCAGCUAUAGACACCUAGAUCAGGACAGAGGAUGCAUAUGCCCUCUCCACCUUAACAUCAAAAUGGGGGAGGAGGAGAAUUUAGGGGUCUGGGUCCCUAAGAGAUAUUAGGACAUCUCUUCCAGGAGCUGGGGGGAAUCACGGGUUAAAGGUCAAGGUUAGGGUAGCAAUCAAAGAUCAAGGUCAUCUCCCCGCAUGAUCUGCCCUUUUUCCCUUGCUUACGGUGGCCCAAUGCCCCUUCAGCACCUCCCAGGUUAGCUCUGGGGGAGGUGAGGGCUGGGAGACCUCCAUGGUGUGCCCCGGGGGCCCCGAAGAAAGAGUUCCAGACUCGCUGCUCUGGGACAGGGUGCGAGAGCGGGACCGGUUGCCAUCAACGGAUGCUGCACUGGUCAGAGAGGCUGUACGAGACCGGGACAGGCGAGUCAUGCAGGAUGAGGCCA
RNAcentral lists this long non-coding RNA (659 nucleotides) under Homo sapiens (human). Its description in RNAcentral is "long non-coding RNA NONHSAT035636.2". The record is from RNAcentral. Lineage: Eukaryota; Metazoa; Chordata; Mammalia; Primates; Hominidae.